RNAcentral lists this ribosomal RNA (253 nucleotides) under uncultured bacterium. RNAcentral describes it as "partial 16S ribosomal RNA". It matches the Rfam family "Bacterial small subunit ribosomal RNA", at positions 524 to 776 of the family's 1533-position model. The record is from RNAcentral.
UACGUAGGGGGCUAGCGUUGUCCGGCUUUAUUGGGCGUAAAGAGCGUGUAGGCGGCCAGGUAGGUCCGUUGUGAAAACUCGAGGCUCAACCUCGAGACGUCGGCGGAAACCCUCUGGCUAGAGUCCGGAAGAGGAGAGUGGAAUUCCUGGUGUAGCGGUGAAAUGCGCAGAUAUCAGGAAGAACACCCGUGGCGAAGGCGGCUCUCUGGGACGGUACUGACGCUGAGACGCGAAAGCGUGGGGAGCAAACAGG